ACCUACGGGACGCAGCAGUGGGGAAUAUUGCACAAUGGGGGAAACCCUGAUGCAGCGACGCCGCGUGAGCGAUGAAGUAUUUCGGUAUGUAAAGCUCUAUCAGCAGGGAAGAAAAUGACGGUACCUGAUUAAGAAGCCCCGGCUAACUACGUGCCAGCAGCCGCGGUAAUACGUAGGGGGCAAGCGUUAUCCAGAUUUACUGGGUGUAAAGGGAGCGCAGACGGCAGUGCAAGUCUGGAGUGAAAGCCCGGGGCCCAACCCCGGAACUGCUCUGGAAACUGUGCGGCUAGAGUACUGGAGGGGCG
This 305-nucleotide ribosomal RNA is filed under the name uncultured bacterium. RNAcentral's name for it is "bacterial SSU rRNA". It matches the Rfam family "Bacterial small subunit ribosomal RNA", at positions 337 to 659 of the family's 1533-position model. The record is from RNAcentral.